UGAGGCUUGGUUGAGGCUUGGUUGAGGCUUGGUUGAGGCCCUGGGUCACUGAUUGGAGGUCGGGGGUUCAAGCCCCAGCACUGCCUCUGCUGUUUAAAUCCACUAAAAGUUUUUUUUCCCCUUGUUGUUAUUGUUGUCACGCAGAAUAUUCUAGAGCAAUGCUUAUCUCGAGGAUUUCUGGAAUAAGUUAUGAAUGAAAUGACACCGAGCUGUAAACAUCGCUUAUCCUUUAAACCAUUUACACGUUUUCUUAACCACCGAGCACACGGUAUUAACGAAAACAUCACCACCGUUUGAUCAGUUCACGAACUCAAAACGAGCACGCGUUACGAUUUCAUGCCCUCCAUUUCAUGGUUUCAUUAAGUUUCUGAACUGUGAAAAUGCUCAAUUAUAGGUUGUGCUGGAUCAAGUGCUAUUUUAAAGGCUGCUGAAUGACGAUGAUGGAAGCCAUUUUGUUAAGCAUAUUUGCAGUGAGUCACGCUGUAAUUAAGAUCAGGACUAUUCAUGCAGUAAUGUAUUAGUUAUAUAUAUAUAUUUAUAAAACGGUAAUAUGCUCAUCUUCAGUAAACGCUCGAUCAUGAUCAGGUGGUCACGCUGAAUCUGGAGCUUAUCCCGGGAACAUGUAGAUAUACGGUAAGUGAGACGUAUAAACCGUUCGACUUUGCUUAUUUCUCUUUUAAAUGAAUGGCUUUACGACUUGUAGCGAUUGUGUUCUAGAUUAGUCUAGAGACAGUUUGUUCUUGGAUGAAAACGUAAAGAAUACAGGAAGUAGACAUAUGUGUUGGCUGAUAUGGUUGUCAAAGUUCAUCCUUCAUUUGCAAGGACAGAUGCUGAAAUCGCUCCGUUCCUCCCCAAAUGGCAAUUAAAAGCUGAGAUGAAUGAAUCAGCUGUUGAAGACGCACAUGGGGUCGGACGCCGUAUGCUCGCAGUUCGAGAUUAACCCGCAUCACUAAAUCGGAGGUAAAGUGAAGUGUUUGGUGCCCUUCGUGAUUUUUUCUGACCCUGGACGCCAGGCAUGACGCUUUUCUCUACAUGCCUGACAUCAGGGAGUCACAAAUUCAACCGUUAGAUUAUAACGGUGCACGAGAAAUAUCGCACGGCUCUAUCAACAGACUCUACGAACGAUGAAAGCGUGGACAUUUUUUAUCCUCAUGCAAUUGAGUUAAUGAACGAAAGUUAAUUGACCAUCUGUCCGUUGUUUGAAGAAUGGAUGUCUGAUGGACACGCUGUGCCGAGAGAAAGGGAGAGAGGAGGAAAAAUGUGUUAUUUGGUCAUCUGAAGGCUGGAACGCUCAGACAGACUGAUGGGGUGAUGGUCACGUCAAACGAUUGGCAGGAGAGGAAACGGGACGUGUGAUUAGAUAUUUAAAGCCGGGUCAGAGAGGAUAAACGAAAACAGGAAACCAACAUUUUACAAGGACAGACCCCAAAGACCAAUCACUGAUCUCCAUUGUUCCCAAAAAAAAAAAAAAAAAAACGAAUCACAGAUCACCACUGUUUCAAACAAUCACUGUUUACGAUUGUCCCCACCAAUCGCUGAUCACCACUAAUCCCGAAGACCAAUCGCUGAUCACCACUAAUCCCGAAGACCAAUCGCUGAUCACCACUAAUCCCGAAGACCAAUCGCUGAUCACCACUAAUCCCGAAGACCAAUCGCUGAUCACCACUAAUCCCGAAGACCAAUCGCUGAUCACCACUAAUCCCGAAGA
Molecule: long non-coding RNA, 1708 nt
Organism: Ictalurus punctatus (channel catfish)
Lineage: Eukaryota; Metazoa; Chordata; Actinopteri; Siluriformes; Ictaluridae
Source: Ensembl